AUGUACCCACGUACAUUCCGGUUCCUCCGCGCCGUCCGCACCCACCUGACGACUGCUUGCUACGUUUUGUUAGCC
RNAcentral lists this small RNA (75 nucleotides) under Xanthomonas campestris pv. raphani. RNAcentral's name for it is "sX9 sRNA". It matches the Rfam family "Xanthomonas sRNA sX9". The record is from RNAcentral. Lineage: Bacteria; Pseudomonadati; Pseudomonadota; Gammaproteobacteria; Lysobacterales; Lysobacteraceae.